GUUUCAGCAGCGCUCAGCAGCCCAGAAAUCCGAAGGAAUGCCAGAGAAAUCGACACCCUGGAUAACACUGAUAUAUCAGAUGUAGAAGACAUAGUGAAACUGCUUAAGCCACUGAAGACAGCCACAACAGUUGUCUGUGAUGAAAAAGAGCCCACUGUUUCACUUAUAAUGCCACUGAAGUACAUGAUCGAGCAAAGCAUGUCACCAGACGAAAAUGACACACAGACCAUCGCCAACAUGAAAAGCGCAAUCCUACGCGACAUCUCGGACCGGUAUUCUGGGGACUGUAAUGAUAUGCUGCAGGAGUGCACAGCGCUUGACCCACGAUUCCGAAGCCUGUCCCAUCUGAAUAAUGAACAACGCGAGUCCGUCUAUGCCCGGAUACGUGAAAAAGCUGCAGGACCUCAUUUGCCACGCAACCAGACCAGUGACACUGAUGAAAGAACAACGAGGGCCAGUGCUUCAACACCAGGAGCAGCAGAGCAGGCCAUGGUCGAGGUUGAGACGGCACAGGGAGCAGAGCCAGUAGAAGGAGAAAGGCAGAUGCAGGAUGUGACACAGCCUCCCCCACCAAAGAAGACAGCGCUAGAAGAUCUCCUUGGGAGCUCCUACACUACUCUUGAGCCAGUGCAGUCCAGCAGAGGGAUUGAAAUGGAGAUAGUCGCCUACAGAAAUGGGAUUCCUAUCCCACUCAACAGUAGUCCACUUGAGUGGUGGAAAGUUAAUGCAUAUGCUUACCCCAUACUUGCCCCCCUUGCCAAAGCCUACCUUUGCAUUCCUGCUACGUCAGUGCCCAGUGAACGGGUCUUUUCGACGGCAGGAGACAUUGUGUGUGCUCAAAGAUCACUAAUUACACCAGAACAUGUCGAUAUGUUAGUUUUUCUGAAGAAGAACCAGUCCUAGGCCAGGGCCAUGACUUAAAAGAGGCUGAGCUAACGUAAUGUAGGGUUAAGUGUUCUUGUUUGUGUUUGAAAGGUUGGGCCGUGUGUUUCCUAGUGUGCAACUAAAACAAAAAUAAAUACGUUGUAAUUAC
Molecule: long non-coding RNA, 1033 nt
Organism: Gadus morhua (Atlantic cod)
Lineage: Eukaryota; Metazoa; Chordata; Actinopteri; Gadiformes; Gadidae
Exons: 2
Source: RefSeq, a predicted model, not a curated record